CAUUUUAUGAGAUUUUUUUAAUUUUUCCGGUAUUUUUUCAGAUUUUUUUCAUUAUUUUUCAAGAAUUUUUUUUAUUUUUUUAAAAAAAUCACAAAUGUCACGGGUGCAAAAAAAAAAAUAUAUACAGUCAGCGCGCCACGUUAUUAGAAAAAGAUGACUCAGCGUGCCACAUCAGCUGGCCUAGGGGGAUAUUCCAAAACAAAAAAAAAAAAUUACAAGGUUGAAAUCUGACAAAAAAAUUUUACAUGGGGGAAAACCAAAAGUGACCUAUAUUGCAGGGGGUAAAGGCCUAUUAACCCAUAUUAAUAUUAUGAGUUAUAUUUAUAUUGGAAUGACUUACCAUAAUAUGCUACCUAGAAUGUUAUGUAAGUGUCACAAAUUAUUGUCAUAAUGAUAAGUCUUGUAUUCCACCCUUCGACCUAAAACCACUGUGUACCCUAGAUGUAGGAGUCAAAUACUUUGAUGUCGUUCAAACAUUGUCUGUAAUUGAAAAUUUAUAAAGCCGGUUGAUGGGUACUCCGCAAAUCAUGACGAGGGACAUGAGUGACCUAUAUAGAAUUUGCCCCUCCUACACAACAGGAUAAAUGUCUAAGGGCCCAAUAUUUAAUUGGAAAAGGGUGACCCGCUAUGUCUUGUGUUCAACACAAACAUGAGAGAUAAAAUGGUAAUCAUACACAAGAUCAUUAUUACAGAAAAGGUUUCUUCAGAUCACAUGACAUUUUUGUCACUUGGAUAGCAGUGAUGUGUUGUUAGAUACCACUCACUGUUUAUAAUAUUAAAUGUUUGAUUUAAUAUUAUUUCCAAUAUUACAAGAAUUUACAAGGUCACACACAAAAUGAUAGUUAAAUAAAAGGUAAAUGCGAGACUUAUUGACUAAUUAGUUAGUGAAGCCAACAAAUGAGUUAUUGAGCUUAUGUAAGUUUAGUAGUGACUCAUUGACUAUCAGAGCACAUAAGUGAUUGUAUAAAUAUAACUCUUGUCCUAAACCAAGAGUACACUAAAACUGAAUUCCACAAUUCAUAAAUCAUAAAAUCAUCCCUCUUUCUCUAAACCUUGAUUCAAAUAAGCUAGCAUUGAAUGAAUAAUAUGUUAUUAUGGACUGAGUAGAGGUUUUUCCAAUUGAGCAAUGCUUGUGAUCGCUAGUAAAUUUGACAUAAAAGGAACUACACUACAAGAAGUAAUACUUCGAUCCCUGAUCAUGUUGAUUCUUCGUAAGGAUCCAUUGAAAGAAAAAUUAUUUUAUUUUAUCUGCUGCAUAUAUUUUAUUUUGUUAUAAGAUAUCCCUUCAGUGGUAUAAGAGUCACUACAACCCAAGUUGCGAUUUUUUUAGUAUAAAAAACUUUUAAUUAAUUUCCACAAUAAAUAUUUUUAAAUUUGGCUGUCACAUUAAUGGUAUAGGAGGCAGGCCCGUUUGUCAGACUGUUAUGUAGGGGUGGCAAUAGGAUCCAUGAGAUCCAUAUCCAUCCAAUUCAUCCACUAUAAAAUUCAUCUAAUCCAUCCACCAAACAAAAAGUUUGUUAAUGUAUUGGUUUGAAAUCCAUCCAUCAAAGACUAUGGAUGGAUUGAGUCCAUCCACCAAUUUUUGAAAUCCAAUGGAUCACCUCUUUAAAAAAGAAAAAAAAAAUCAAUGGAUUACUUCAAAUAAUAUUUAAUUUUUUAUUUAAA
Molecule: long non-coding RNA, 1665 nt
Filed under: Medicago truncatula (barrel medic)
Lineage: Eukaryota; Viridiplantae; Streptophyta; Magnoliopsida; Fabales; Fabaceae
Description: long non-coding RNA (MTRU_LNC001947)
Source: RNAcentral